Molecule: non-coding RNA, 2788 nt
Organism: Microcebus murinus (gray mouse lemur)
Lineage: Eukaryota; Metazoa; Chordata; Mammalia; Primates; Cheirogaleidae
Source: RefSeq, a predicted model, not a curated record
CCUGCCGCCUUCAGCCCCGGAGCUGACAGGGGAUUCUCAGCCCUGCCUUGUGCCAAGCUGCUCCAUGCACAUGCCUCAUUGUCACCCUGCCUGCGAGAGUCACAGAAAGGGCUUUUCCCUCUUCCCCUGAGCUGCCAAUCAUAUGAAAGUCACCCUCUAACACUUGUGAAAUCACCCACAGGGUGUCAGAAGCUGAAACUGCUAAGUCCACCACACUAGGCUUGGCAGGAGAGAUGUCUAACCCGGCCCCGAGAGCUCCAGCUGCCUCCUGGCUCACCUGGGUCUGACUAGAGUGAAGGGAGAGGACUGUGCUGAGCCACCUGAGGAGUCAGGUGGGCAGGAGUGGCAUGUGGCCUUGCCGCCGACCCAGCAGAAAGUUUCCAAGGCCUAUGUGGGGGUCAGGUGUCCACCUCCAGUGAUCUGAGAGGAUGGGUGGGCAGAACCCCUGGGUUCUGAACCAUGAUUGAGAGCAGGAGACCUCUGUGGACUGUGGCAUGAAGAGCAGUUACUGGGAUCCAGGAGAUAGAAAACACAAAUAUAUGUGAUGAAACUGGGACUCGAAAGCGCCAACUUCAGUUGCAAGAUCUUGUUCUUAAGAGGCAGACUGCGGAGCUGAGGCCGGCAGGACUGCGUGCAGGGCUGCCAUCCUAGGCGCAGGGGACGCAGGGGGCGUGCAGGGCAGGGGCGAGAGGAGAGGCGGGAGAGGGAGGGGGCGCCAGCUCUCUGGGUCCUCCUUCCCCACAACCCCUAGUUAACUGGGGAAGGAAGCAGGUUCUGGGCCUUCGCAGCUAAAGCAGCAGCAGGCGCCCAAAGGAAGCGGGUGGAGAGGAGCCUGGGAGCCCACCCGGCGGAGCCAGGUAGGGGGAGAGCUAGGCGCCAACAGGGAGGCUCCAGAGUGGCCACAUCUGGCCAGGCGGACACCUCCUCCUGGCCGCCAGGCAUGCCUAAACCCCCUAAGCCACGCCCCAACACGUGUGCUUGCUUACACUGACCAGAGAAGGAGGGAUCACCCUGCACAGCUGUCUUGGUGCCUUCCCCCCUCCCCCUUUUUUUUCGUUUCAGGACCCAGGGUUUUGAGCAGGAGUGUGGUGGGGGAGCAGGGUUCCUCCCCUUCCUCAGGCCCAGUCAGAGAGGGAGCCAUCACUCUCUCUGCUCCUCCUCCUCUGGGGGCGCACUCCAACCCCCUCCCCAUCCCCUGAGAAGCCUUUUCUGACCACUCAGACUCUCCAGGGUCGCCUGCCCCCGAGUUCCUGCAGGACGUUUCCAAGUGACGCAACGUCUCAUCUCUCAGCACAUGUCUCCCCAGGCCCACUAGGAUAUAAGCGUCAAAAGGGCAGAGGUCUUUGUUUUCUUCAGGGCUACAUCUACAGUGCCCAGAAUAACGAGUGCCUGCCUCAGAACAGGUCCUCCAUAGAUACUUGCUGAAUGAAGGAGGAUGUCAAUGAUCAGUGAAAAGUGUAAGUUUACCUGAUGAAGGGAAGGAAGCAGGAAAAGAAGGUGACUUUGCAGAUCCGCAGCCAGAGGUCAGCUGACAACGGGGCAUACCUUGCUGGAGCUCAGCUGGGAGAAAGAAGUUUGAACACUGAGCGACGGUCACAGACAACAUCUGAGGACUCUCUGAUUUUGCUUCUGAAGGAGUAGGAUGAUCUUUGUCAGUCCAAGAUGACCAUGAGGAAACGAGCAAUCAAUAUUUGUUGUCAGAAAUGCUGAUCAUGGAACACUUGCAUAAACCCAUUUUAGGAAGAGUGGGCAGUAUAACGAUGUCAAUAGUAACAGUAGCUACAUUCUAGGGCACUUACCCAGUGCUGGGCACUUCUUCAUAGACUUCACGUGGAUUAUCCCAUUUAAUCCUUACAACAAAUUUAUGAGGUAGGCAUUUUUUUUGCUCUUUUGUAAAUAAGAAAAUAAGAAGUUAAACAACUUGCCAAAGACCACAUACCUAGAAAGAUUUCAUUUGAUUAUUUGAUUAUGUUUUGAGAUGAGACAAGAAAGAAAAUUUGAAGUUGAGCUCCGUAAUUAAACAUGACCCUACAUGUCCUAGGGUUCAGAUUGAAUCCAUAAAUGGAUGGAGUUUGAACAUCGGUUCUGCACCUCACUGUUCGCAUUACUUUAGACAAGUUAUACUUAUCUCUCUGAGUUUAGAUUUCCUCAUUUGUAAGAUGUAAAAAAUUAUUCGAUCCUUGCAGAGUUAUCAAGAUUAAAUAUAAUCACGCAUGAAAAACACCUACUAUAAAUGUCUGACCCAGAGAAGACACUCAAGAAAUGACUUUAUUUUCACUAUCAUUUUUGUUGUUAUUAUUACUGAAAGAAUUCAGAGUCCGGCCUUUCGGCUCCAUAAUUGUGAAUACCCACACCCAUGCUCCUCAAAUAGUAUUUGGAAUCAAUGGGGUAGCAAUUUAAAGAUGCAAAGUCCUGAGUUCUACUCUCAGAGAUUCUAAUGUAAUAGAUAUGUUGGGGUCUAGAAAUCUCUCUCUCAGAUGGAAAAUUGUCAUUCUCUUAACUCCAGAAAGAGACAGAACCUUCACCUGUUACUUUCUACUUUCUAAUGUUAUGCUACCCAAUGUGUGCUCCCCAAAAUCCUCACAUGAAAUUGACCCUUCCAGGCAGUGUUGCCUAAUGGUUAAGGAAAGGGCUCUGGAGACCUCAGGCAAGCACAUGGCCCUCUUUGGGCCUCAUUUUCGUCAUCUAUAAAAUUGGGAUAACAAUAAUUUCUACCAUAGGAUAAAUCAAGGCUUAAAAUAAACAUGUGAAGCAGUUAGAAAGAGCCUGGCAUGGAUUAGGUACUCUA